Molecule: ribosomal RNA, 462 nt
Filed under: uncultured bacterium
Lineage: Bacteria
Description: partial 16S ribosomal RNA
Rfam family: Bacterial small subunit ribosomal RNA
Source: RNAcentral
GACGAACGCUGGCGGCGUGCUUAACACAUGCAAGUCGAACGGAAAGGCCCUUCGGGGUCCUCGAGUGGCGAACGGGUGAGUAACACGUGGGUGAUCUGCCCUGCACUUUGGGAUAAGCCUGGGAAACUGGGUCUAAUACCGAAUAGGACCACGCGCUUCAUGGUGUGUGGUGGAAAGCUUUUGCGGUGUGGGAUGGGCGCGCGGCCUAUCAGCUUGUUGGUGGGGUAAUGGCCUACCAAGGCGACGACGGGUAGCCGGCCUGAGAGGGUGAGCGGCCACACUGGGACUGAGAUACGGCCCAGACUCCUACGGGAGGCAGCAGUGGGGAAUAUUGCACAAUGGGCGCAAGCCUGAUGCAGCGACGCCGCGUGAGGGAUGACGGCCUUCGGGUUGUAAACCGCUUUCACCAGGGACGAAGCGUAAGUGACGUUACCUGGAGAAGAAGCACCGGCCAACUACGUG